RNAcentral lists this ribosomal RNA (440 nucleotides) under uncultured bacterium. Its description in RNAcentral is "partial 16S ribosomal RNA". It matches the Rfam family "Bacterial small subunit ribosomal RNA", at positions 338 to 795 of the family's 1533-position model. The record is from RNAcentral.
CCUACGGGAGGCAGCAGUGGGGAAUAUUGCACAAUGGGGGAAACCCUGAUGCAGCGACGCCGCGUGAGUGAAGAAGUAAUUCGUUAUGUAAAGCUCUAUCAGCAGGGAAGAAAAUGACGGUACCUGAGUAAGAAGCCCCGGCUAACUACGUGCCAGCAGCCGCGGUAAUACGUAGGGGGCAAGCGUUAUCCGGAUUUACUGGGGGUAAAGGGAGCGUAGAAGGCAGUGCAGGUCUGGAGUGAAAGGCGGGGGCUCAACCCCCGGACUGCUCUGGAAACUGUACGGCUGGAGUGCAGGAGAGGUAAGUGGAAUUCCUAGUGUAGCGGUGAAAUGCGGAGAUAUUAGGAGGAACACCAGUGGCGAAGGCGGCUUACUGGACUGUAACUGACGUUGAGGCUCGAAAGCGUGGGGAGCAAACAGGAUUAGAUACCCCUGUAGUC